UAGGGAAUCUUCCGCAAUGGGCGAAAGCCUGACGGAGCAACGCCGCGUGAGUGAUGAAGGUCUUCGGAUCGUAAAACUCUGUUAUCAGGGAAGAACAAAUGUGUAAGUAACUGUGCACAUCUUGACGGUACCUGAUCAGAAAGCCACGGCUAACUACGUGCCAGCAGCCGCGGUAAUACGUAGGUGGCAAGCGUUAUCCGGAAUUAUUGGGCGUAAAGCGCGCGUAGGCGGUUUUUUAAGUCUGAUGUGAAAGCCCACGGCUCAACCGUGGAGGGUCAUUGGAAACUGGAAAACUUGAGUGCAGAAGAGGAAAGUGGAAUUCCAUGUGUAGCGGUGAAAUGCGCAGAGAUAUGGAGGAACACCAGUGGCGAAGGCGACUUUCUGGUCUGUAACUGACGCUGAUGUGCGAAAGCGUGGGGAUCAAACAGGAUUAGAUACCCCUGGUAGUCCACGCCGUAAACGAUGAGUGCUAAGUGUUAGGGGGUUUCCGCCCCUUAGUGCUGCAGCUAACGCAUUAAGCACUCCGCCUGGGGAGUACGACCGCAAGGUUGAAACUCAAAGGAAUUGACGGGGACCCGCACAAGCGGUGGAGCAUGUGGUUUAAUUCGAAGC
RNAcentral lists this ribosomal RNA (612 nucleotides) under uncultured Staphylococcus sp. Its description in RNAcentral is "bacterial SSU rRNA". It matches the Rfam family "Bacterial small subunit ribosomal RNA", at positions 355 to 957 of the family's 1533-position model. The record is from RNAcentral. Lineage: Bacteria; Bacillati; Bacillota; Bacilli; Caryophanales; Staphylococcaceae.